UACGGGGGGAGCAAGCGUUGUUCGGAUUUACUGGGCGUAAAGGGCGCGUAGGCGGCGCAACAAGUCACUUGUGAAAUCUCCGGGCUUAACUCGGAAAGGUCAAGUGAUACUGUUGUGCUAGAGUGCGGAAGGGGCAACUGGAAUUCUCGGUGUAGCGGUGAAAUGCGUAGAUAUCGAGAGGAACACCUGCGGCGAAGGCGUGCUGCUGGGCCGACACUGACGCUGAUGCGCGAAAGCCAGGGGAGCGAACGGG
Molecule: ribosomal RNA, 253 nt
Filed under: uncultured bacterium
Lineage: Bacteria
Description: partial 16S ribosomal RNA
Rfam family: Bacterial small subunit ribosomal RNA
Source: RNAcentral